RNAcentral lists this ribosomal RNA (444 nucleotides) under uncultured bacterium. Its description in RNAcentral is "bacterial SSU rRNA". It matches the Rfam family "Bacterial small subunit ribosomal RNA", at positions 331 to 793 of the family's 1533-position model. The record is from RNAcentral.
CCAGACUCCUACGGGAGGCAGCAGUGGGGAAUAUUGCACAAUGGGGAAACCCUGAUGCAGCGACGCCGCGUGAAGGAAGAAGUAUUUCGGUAUGUAAACUUCUAUCAGCAGGGAAGAAAAUGACGGUACCUGACUAAGAAGCCCCGGCUAACUACGUGCCAGCAGCCGCGGUAAUACGUAGGGGGCAAGCGUUAUCCGGAUUUACUGGGUGUAAAGGGAGCGUAGACGGCAGCACAAGUCUGGAGUGAAAUGCCGGGGCUUAACCCCGGAACUGCUUUGGAAACUGUGCAGCUAGAGUGCAGGAGAGGUAAGUGGAAUUCCUAGUGCAGCGGUGAAAUGCGUAGAUAUUAGGAGGAACACCAGUGGCGAAGGCGGCUUACUGGACUGUAACUGACGUUGAGGCUCGAAAGCGUGGGGAGCAAACAGGAUUAGAUACCCUAGUAA